This 253-nucleotide ribosomal RNA is filed under the name uncultured bacterium. RNAcentral describes it as "partial 16S ribosomal RNA". It matches the Rfam family "Bacterial small subunit ribosomal RNA", at positions 524 to 776 of the family's 1533-position model. The record is from RNAcentral.
UACGUAGGGCGCAAGCGUUGUCCGGAAUUAUUGGGCGUAAAGAGCUCGUAGGCGGCUUGUCGCGUCGGUUGUGAAAGCCCGGGGCUUAACCCCAGGUCUGCAGUCGAUACGGGCAGGCUAGAGUUCGGUAGGGGAGAUCGGAAUUCCUGGUGUAGCGGUGAAAUGCGCAGAUAUCAGGAGGAACACCGGUGGCGAAGGCGGAUCUCUGGGCCGAUACUGACGCUGAGGAGCGAAAGCGUGGGGAGCGAACAGG